GACGAACGCUGACGGUGUGCUUUAGACAUGCAAGUCGAACGAGAAAGCCCUUCGGGGUGAGUAAAGUGGCGAACGGGUGCGUAACACGUGGGUAACCUGCCCCUCGCAGGGGGACAACCGGGGGAAACUCCGGCUAAUACCCCGUACGCUCCGAAUUCCGCAUGGUAUUCGGAGGAAAGGUAGCUUCGGCCAUCCGGCGAGGGAUGGGCCCGCGGUACAUUAGCUAGUUGGUGGGGUAACGGCCUACCAAGGCGACGAUGUAUAGCUGGUCUGAGAGGAUGAUCAGCCACACUGGGACUGAGACACGGCCCAGACUCCUACGGGAGGCAGCAGUCGGGAAUCUUGCGCAAUGGGCGAAAGCCUGACGCAGCAACACCGUGUGAGCGAGGAAGGCCUUCGGGUCGUAAAGCUCUGUUGUUGGGGACGAAGGGCGAAGGGUUAAUAGCCCCCAGCCUGACGGUACCCUUCGAGGAAGCCCCGGCUAACUACGUGCCAGCCGCCGCCGUAACAC
Molecule: ribosomal RNA, 511 nt
Filed under: uncultured bacterium
Lineage: Bacteria
Description: bacterial SSU rRNA
Rfam family: Bacterial small subunit ribosomal RNA
Source: RNAcentral